UACAGAGGGUGCGAGCGUUGUCCGGAAUCACUGGGCGUAAAGGGCGCGUAGGCGGCUUGAUAAGCGUGCGGUGAAAGCCCGGGGCUCAACCCCGGGUCGGCCGUGCGGACUGGCGGGCUCGAGCACUGUAGGGGCGGGUGGAAUUCCUGGUGUAGCGGUGAAAUGCGCAGAUAUCAGGAGGAACACCGGUGGCGAAGGCGGGUCUCUGGGCCGUAACUGACGCUGAGGAGCGAAAGCGUGGGGAGCGAACAGG
This 253-nucleotide ribosomal RNA is filed under the name uncultured bacterium. Its description in RNAcentral is "partial 16S ribosomal RNA". It matches the Rfam family "Bacterial small subunit ribosomal RNA", at positions 524 to 776 of the family's 1533-position model. The record is from RNAcentral.